Molecule: long non-coding RNA, 981 nt
Filed under: Rhinopithecus bieti (black snub-nosed monkey)
Lineage: Eukaryota; Metazoa; Chordata; Mammalia; Primates; Cercopithecidae
Description: lncRNA (ENSRBIG00000046236.1)
Source: RNAcentral
UUUUCUUGACAUAUUUUACAAAUAAUUAAUUUUAAUUUUUAGUUUUGUUUCAUCACAUAAGAUGUCAGAUAUUUCUUUAUCAAAUUCUGCUAUGCCCAGGUUCAGUGCAUCCUCCAUGACAAAAUUACCUCAACAAGCCAAAAAUGCAGUUCUUAUAAGAAGAAGCACUUCUUUGUUUUUCUUUUAAAUUUUGCCCAAGUGCUUAAACUUUCAAUGAUUGUUAUUUUUUAUCUCAAAUGUAGGAUCAUUUCCAAGAAAGAAAACCACAAAAUCUGUCACCAGAGAUUGAGAAGCUAUGCUUUACUUGCUCUGAAAAAAACCCAAAUUCUUCAAAUUAUAAAAAAGUGGAUUUUUAAAAUUAGAAACAGUGAAUGUAAAAAGGAAGUUGAUUUCAGUAUGUAUCAUCCUGAUGAUGAAACUGAUGAAAUGAAGUCUUUAUUGGGAAUAUUUGAUGGUAUUUUCUAAAACAAACAAACUUUUAUAUUAAUAAGAGAAAGAAUAAAGACACCUAGUCACAAAGCAUGCUUUUCAUUUUUAAAAAGUAGUUCAUAAUUGUUCAGAGUUUUUUCUCCUGAAUUUGAUUAGCUUUGUUCACCUUUUGCAACAAAAUAUAUGGACCGAUUUAUUUUCCCAUUAUAUUGUAACUUCUUGAAAAGCUCUUUUACAGUGGCUUUGUUUCAGUAAUCCCUUAAGUUAAGGCUUAUUGCACUUAGAAAUAAGUCGCACUUAGAAAUAAUUAUUUGGUUAUUAAUUGGAUUUUGACAAGAACCAAUGUAAAAUUUUAUUUUUAUGUUUUCUUAAGAAGAAAAAUAUUCUAUGAAAGCAAAAUAAUGCUAACUUAAUGAAUCUGCUUAUUGUAUGGAUUAAUCACUAAUAUUAUUCCCAUGUAUUUUGUUUUACUAAGAUUUUUAAGAAUCCAAUGACUCUUUGAACCUACUGUUAUCUAACUUUGAGCAACAAUAAAUGAAACAUUAAUCAGUA